Molecule: transfer RNA, 72 nt
Filed under: Actinomycetota bacterium
Lineage: Bacteria; Bacillati; Actinomycetota
Description: Actinobacteria bacterium (soil metagenome) tRNA-Arg
Rfam family: tRNA
About the family: Transfer RNA (tRNA) molecules are approximately 80 nucleotides in length. Their secondary structure includes four short double-helical elements and three loops (D, anti-codon, and T loops).
Source: RNAcentral
GCUCCUCUGGUGAAACGGAGAUCAUGACGGACUACGAAUCCGUCGUUGGAGGUUCGAGUCCUCCGGGGAGCG